Molecule: ribosomal RNA, 460 nt
Filed under: uncultured bacterium
Lineage: Bacteria
Description: partial 16S ribosomal RNA
Rfam family: Bacterial small subunit ribosomal RNA
Source: RNAcentral
CCUACGGGAGGCAGCAGUGAGGAAUAUUGGUCAAUGGCCGUAAGGCUGAACCAGCCAAGUAGCGUGAGGGAAGACUGCCCUAUGGGUUGUAAACCUCUUUUAUGCGGGGAUAAAGUUGUCCACGUGUGGAUGUUUGCAGGUACCGCAUGAAUAAGGACCGGCUAAUUCCGUGCCAGCAGCCGCGGUAAUACGGAAGGUCCGGGCGUUAUCCGGAUUUAUUGGGUUUAAAGGGAGCGUCGGCCGGUCUUUAAGCGUGCCGUGAAAUUUUGUGGCUCAACCCUGAGCGUGCGGCGCGAACUGGAGGCCUUGAGUGGGCGGAAGGCAGGCGGAAUUCGUGGUGUAGCGGUGAAAUGCUUAGAUAUCACGAAGAACCACGAUUGCGAAGGCAGCCUGCCGCAGCGUGACUGACGCUGAAGCUCGAAAGCGCGGGUAUCGAACAGGAUUAGAUACCCGGGUAGUC